Molecule: long non-coding RNA, 805 nt
Organism: Nelumbo nucifera (sacred lotus)
Lineage: Eukaryota; Viridiplantae; Streptophyta; Magnoliopsida; Proteales; Nelumbonaceae
Source: RefSeq, a predicted model, not a curated record
CGACCUCAAGAUACAUAAAUAGUAAUAGCGAUAAUCCCUUCUAUCUCAGAUUCUUUCACAUUUCUUUAAAUCCCUCUCUCAUCCCCGAUCUCUCUUCUUUCCCUUCCCCUUUCUCUCCUCCUCUUUCUUCUUCCACACGGUCCAUGCCUUGUCGCUCUCCUCUUCGUCUCAAGGUUGAAGACGAUGAACUUAUAUUAUAGGGUACGAGUAUCUUCUCCGCCGAGAACCACCCAAUUCAUAUCCAUGGAUACGAUUUCUACAUCGUUGCAGAGGGCUUUGGGAAUUUCAAUCCGCAAACUGACACGGCUAAGUUCAAUCUUGUCGAUCCACUAAUGUGGAAUACUGUUGCAGUUCCAGUGAAUGGAUGGGCAGUGAUCCGAUUUGUUGUUGAUAAUCUAAUUAUGUUCUUAUUUGGAGUUUGGCUGAUGCAUUGUCACUUGGGCGUUCACAUCACCUGGGGAUUGGCUAUGGCCUUCCUGGUAGAGAAUGGAAUCGGGGAGUUGCAGUCUUUAGAGCGUCCUCCAGCUGAUCUUCCUCCUUGUUAAGAUAUUCAACGACAAACAGCUGAAAGUUGCUGGUGGUUGAUUUGUAUCUGUUAGAGACCGGGAUUUCUGUUUCUUGUCUUUUGUUAGGCUUAUUUGCUCUGUAUUGUUCGCCUCAUUUGGCGACCAUGUUCUUAUUUUGUUUUUCCUCUCUUAUUUCUUUUUCUUCCUUUCUUUUCCCUUUUACUAAUAUACAACGGGUGAUGUUGUCUUAGAACUAAAUUUUAAGUGCAAAGUUUAGUAAAGAAGCCGAAACAUUUGUA